RNAcentral lists this transfer RNA (64 nucleotides) under Neotoma lepida (desert woodrat). It matches the Rfam family "tRNA", at positions 5 to 66 of the family's 71-position model. From Rfam's summary of the family: Transfer RNA (tRNA) molecules are approximately 80 nucleotides in length. Their secondary structure includes four short double-helical elements and three loops (D, anti-codon, and T loops). The record is from Rfam by way of RNAcentral. Lineage: Eukaryota; Metazoa; Chordata; Mammalia; Rodentia; Cricetidae.
AGGUGGCUCAGUGGGUAAAGUGCUUGACUCAGAAGCAGGAGGGCCUGAGUUCAGUUCCCAGCCU